GAAGAGCCAAAAAGUACUAUUGAGGAAUACAAACGCAAAAGCAGCAGCAGUAACAACAACAGAAAACAGUUUUGUUAGAUAAAUGGCCUUGGGCAAAAGUCUUUAUAACUGCAAUCACAUAAGUUAGUGGAAACAGUGUCAGGCUUUCCCAGAUGGAGACAAUAUAGUGAGAUUAUUCACCCAGUGUUUAUUCACAAGAUUGACCGAAGCUUAUUUAGAUGACCAAAUUAUGAACAUUGUGACCCCACCCUGAGGCUGUAAGAGUGUGCCUGAUGAGAGAAUGCGUACUUGAAGCAGUUAUAAGGCUUAAUAUAUUCAAGAAGACCAAGCGAUCCUUAUAGGACUACAUGCAAAGCAAUGUACUCCAGACCGCACAACUGGACAUACAGAUUGUGCCCUGAUGCCAUCUGCCCCGUUCUCCCAGCCUCAUCUUCCCUCUCUAUGCCUAGCUUCACAUCGGUUGGCUCUUCUUUGGCUCUCUUCAUCCCGUCUGCCUGCCUCGCUGCUCUCCCUGAUAACAUUUCCUGACUGAUGCCUUGCACUCUGACUCUUUCUGCAAGGUGCCAUUCUCAGCAGUGACUCAAUUUAGUGCCACCCUGCUGAUUGGCAUUGCACUUCUGAGGUCAUCACCAUCUUUCUUCAGCCAAACAAAAUGAUUCUCACCAACAACCCCGGCUCUGCUAAGCUUGAUGUUGGAGGUCUGCUGUUUUUGAAGCAGGGGACCACUGUCCAUUAAAGGCUUCAUAAACCAUUUAACAAAAUCACAUAAGAUAGGGUAGUUCAUACUCCAUGCGAUGUGCCAUACAAUGGAAGGGCCAUGUUCCUUAUCAUAUCUGGAUACUGCAAAGCUCCUGUCUCCUCAACAAUUUACGCACUAAUCAAUUAUUAAAUGAAGAAAUGCUAUGUAAAAGCAAAGAUAUUUCUUCCUGUGGAAUUUGAGUCUUAAAUGUAGUAAUUACUGUUUUAUGGCAUAAAUAAAAGUUAAAUAUUAUAUUAUUUUAAAAGCAUCAUGUAUCUUUUUUCAUUCCUAAUGUAUUCUACUAGUAGUGUGUCAGGCACUUUAACCCUUAUGAAAAAAGCCAAGGAAAAUAGAGAGCAUCAUAUCAAAACAACUGUUUAUUUGCACAUGCAACAUUAAACUAUGGUAUACAUCUCUGUUUUCAUUACAAUAUUGAAAAGGAUGAGUAUUUGGAGUCUACAGUACUGCUUGCUCCAUCUCCAGCAAAGAUAAAAACAUCCUAAGAAAAAUGACUCAUUCACACAGUAUUCCUCUUUUUACAACCGCGACACAUUUUGCACAGACAACACAGCAUCUGGAGGACGUAUAUGAUCCUCACCAGUGUUAUUUAUUGUUUUUCCUGUGUGUGUCUAAUGAUGAUAAAAAAAUUAUAAUUGAUCAAUUAUACUUUGAAGGAUAAAGCAAAACUACUAUAUUUACUAUAAAGCUAUCUAAACCAAUAGCAGCUUCAUAAGACUUAAGGUGGUUAUCAAAGGGACUAACAAACAAAUAUAAUGCAUAUGGGUUGACCUGUGAAAACAUAAUGUCCUGUUUUCAUUUGUCAGUUACCAGUUAGGCUUUAGAAACAUGAUAAAGUUAAAGUGUAUUUAAAAAUAUAGUUUGGAGAAAUGUGUGAAAGUGGUCAUGAAUUUCAAGGGUUGAAUGAUUAUAGUUAACUGUUUAAAAAUAUGUAGUUGUAGCCUACUAAUGCUUUUAUAAAAUGCUCAAAAUAUAUUUUAGAUUACAUCCUGUGAUAUCCAAGCCUUCUUUCUUUCUGUGUUUUCAAAGCUCCACACCAGUAGGUGGUGGUAAAGAAAACCGUGUAGGUACGCGUUAACACGUGAUUUACGUGUUAACACGUGAUUUACGCGUUAACACGUAGUGCGUGAUGGCAUUUUCUUCUUGAACCCCGCAAGGAGAAACGGAGGCAUGAGUAUGAAACAAUCGACUUACAU
Molecule: non-coding RNA, 1953 nt
Organism: Misgurnus anguillicaudatus (oriental weatherfish)
Lineage: Eukaryota; Metazoa; Chordata; Actinopteri; Cypriniformes; Cobitidae
Source: RefSeq, a predicted model, not a curated record